CCUACGGGUGGCAGCAGUGGGGAAUAUUGGUCAAUGGGCGCAAGCCUGAACCAGCAAUGCCGCGUGAAGGAAGAAGGCUUUACGGUUGUAAACUUCUUUUUCCGGGGGAGAGCAGCAGCCUGUGCCCUGAAACCCCGCCACGGCUCACUGCGUACCAGCCGCCGCGGUAAUACGGAGGGGGCACGCGUUGUCCGGAGUUACUGGGUGUAACGGGCGUGUUGCCGGGAAGGCAAGUCAGAUGUGAAAUCCGGAGGCCCAACCGCCGAUUUGCAGUUGAAACUGUUUUUCUUGAGUACGGGAGAGGCAGACGGAAUUCGUUGUGUAGCGGUGAAAUGCGUAGAUAUCAGGAGGAACACCAGUUGCGAAGGCGGCAUGCCGGACAGCAACUGACGGUGAGGCGCGAAAGCGUGGGGAGCAAACAGGAUUAGAUACCCGAGUAGUC
This 442-nucleotide ribosomal RNA is filed under the name uncultured bacterium. RNAcentral describes it as "partial 16S ribosomal RNA". It matches the Rfam family "Bacterial small subunit ribosomal RNA", at positions 338 to 795 of the family's 1533-position model. The record is from RNAcentral.